AUGCAGUGAACUAAGCCAACUAGGUUCCUUUUCUUGUGGGUACCCAGGGUACAGUGACCCCAAAAUAGCAAGCCCCUAGCUGUGUCUGCUGACUGUUGCUUGUGUGAGUUGCCCUACAGGACCUUGAAGAAGCGC
Molecule: small nucleolar RNA, 135 nt
Organism: Cavia porcellus (domestic guinea pig)
Lineage: Eukaryota; Metazoa; Chordata; Mammalia; Rodentia; Caviidae
Gene: SNORA70
Rfam family: Small nucleolar RNA SNORA70
About the family: snoRNA U70 seems to be exclusive to mammals and is a member of the H/ACA class of snoRNA which contain H (ANANNA) and ACA box motifs. H/ACA box snoRNAs are involved in the conversion of uridines to pseudouridines (5-ribosyluracil) a constituent of structural RNAs (transfer, ribosomal, small nuclear, and small nucleolar).
Source: Ensembl